RNAcentral lists this ribosomal RNA (464 nucleotides) under uncultured Planctomycetota bacterium. RNAcentral describes it as "bacterial SSU rRNA". It matches the Rfam family "Bacterial small subunit ribosomal RNA", at positions 365 to 819 of the family's 1533-position model. The record is from RNAcentral. Lineage: Bacteria; Pseudomonadati; Planctomycetota.
UUCGCAAUGCCCGAAAGGGUGACGAAGCGACGCCGCGUGGAUGAAGAAGGCCUUCGGGUUGUAAAGCCCUGUCAGGAGUUAUGAAAUGUAAGUACGCUAAUAUCGUGCUUAUUUGACAAAGGCUCCAAAGGAAGCCACGGCUAACUCUGUGCCAGCAGCCGCGGUAAUACAGAGGUGGCGAGCGUUGUUCGGAAUUAUUGGGCGUAAAGAGCACGUAGGUGGGUUUGCAAGUCAGAUGUGAAAGCCUUCUGUUCAACGGAAGAAUUGCAUCUGAAACUGCAAACCUUGAGUGUAGGAGGGGAGAAUGGAACUUCUGGUGGAGCGGUGAAAUGCGUAGAUAUCAGAAGGAACGCCGGCGGCGAAAGCGAUUCUCUGGCCUAUUACUGACACUCAGUGUGCGAAAGCUAGGGGAGCAAACGGGAUUAGAUACCCCGGUAGUCCUAGCCGUAAACGAUGGGCACUAA